Molecule: ribosomal RNA, 253 nt
Filed under: uncultured bacterium
Lineage: Bacteria
Description: partial 16S ribosomal RNA
Rfam family: Bacterial small subunit ribosomal RNA
Source: RNAcentral
UACGAAGGGGGCUAGCGUUGUUCGGUUUUACUGGGCGUAAAGCGCACGUAGGCGGAUCGUUAAGUCGGGGGUGAAAUCCUGGAGCUCAACUCCAGAACUGCCUUCGAUACUGGCGAUCUAGAGUCCGGAAGAGGUGAGUGGAACUCCUAGUGUAGAGGUGGAAUUCGUAGAUAUUAGGAAGAACACCAGUGGCGAAGGCGGCUCACUGGUCCGGUACUGACGCUGAGGUGCGAAAGCGUGGGGAGCAAACAGG